GGAGUUGUGGCUCAGUGGUAGAGUGCUCACCUAGCAGCAUGAGGACCUGGGUUCGAUCCUCAGCACCA
RNAcentral lists this transfer RNA (68 nucleotides) under Marmota monax (woodchuck). RNAcentral describes it as "tRNA.Ala". Lineage: Eukaryota; Metazoa; Chordata; Mammalia; Rodentia; Sciuridae. The record is from RNAcentral.